This 433-nucleotide ribosomal RNA is filed under the name uncultured bacterium. RNAcentral describes it as "partial 16S ribosomal RNA". It matches the Rfam family "Bacterial small subunit ribosomal RNA", at positions 29 to 507 of the family's 1533-position model. The record is from RNAcentral.
AACGAACGCUGGCGGCAUGCCUAAUACAUGCAAGUCGAACGAGAUCUUCGGAUCUAGUGGCGCACGGGUGCGUAACGCGUGGGAAUCUGCCCUUGGGUUCGGAAUAACUUCUGGAAACGGAAGCUAAUACCGGAUGAUGACGUAAGUCCAAAGAUUUAUCGCCCAAGGAUGAGCCCGCGUAGGAUUAGGUAGUUGGUGAGGUAAAGGCUCACCAAGCCGACGAUCCUUAGCUGGUCUGAGAGGAUGAUCAGCCACACUGGGACUGAGACACGGCCCAGACUCCUACGGGAGGCAGCAGUAGGGAAUAUUGGACGAUGGGCGAAAGCCUGAUCCAGCAAUGCCGCGUGAGUGAUGAAGGCCUUAGGGUUGUAAAGCUCUUUUACCCGGGAUGAUAAUGACAGUACCGGGAGAAUAAGCUCCGGCUAACUCCGUG